GUGGGGAAUUUUGGACAAUGGGCGAAAGCCUGAUCCAGCCAUGCCGCGUGCAGGAUGAAGGCCUUCGGGUUGUAAACUGCUUUUGUACGGAACGAAAAGACUCUGGUUAAUACCUGGGGUCCAUGACGGUACCGUAAGAAUAAGCACCGGCUAACUACGUGCCAGCAGCCGCGGUAAUACGUAGGGUGCAAGCGUUAAUCGGAAUUACUGGGCGUAAAGCGUGCGCAGGCGGUUAUAUAAGACAGAUGUGAAAUCCCCGGGCUCAACCUGGGAACUGCAUUUGUGACUGUAUAGCUAGAGUACGGCAGAGGGGGAUGGAAUUCCGCGUGUAGCAGUGAAAUGCGUAGAUAUGCGGAGGAACACCGAUGGCGAAGGCAAUCCCCUGGGCCUGUACUGACGCUCAUGCACGAAAGCGUGGGGAGCAAACAGGAUUAGAAACCCUAGUAGUCC
This 450-nucleotide ribosomal RNA is filed under the name uncultured bacterium. RNAcentral describes it as "partial 16S ribosomal RNA". It matches the Rfam family "Bacterial small subunit ribosomal RNA", at positions 354 to 796 of the family's 1533-position model. The record is from RNAcentral.